UGAUCAUAAGUUGCUAAAACAUGAGAUAAUUUAUCUUGAAAUAUUGUUCCAUCUCCUCUGCAUGUGUGGCCUUGAGCGAGAAUGGUAAGAAAUGUGUGCAACCGUGUAGCUCCGCCCUCAGACUCUACAGAUUUAGCUUCACUCAGACCUCUGCAGCAAAAUUAGUAAUUGCUGUAGAUCAUUUUCAGUCCUCUGAAAUUCUCUCUCUCUCUCUUUCUGUGUGUGUGUGUGUGUGUGUGUGUGUGUGUGUGUGUGUGUGUGUGUGUGUGUGUGUGUGUGUGUGUGUGUGUGUGUGUGUGUGUGUGUAGACAGCUGCGUUCUUAUUUAUGUUGGAC
Xyrichtys novacula (pearly razorfish) is the source of this 335-nucleotide non-coding RNA. NCBI's taxonomy places the organism in Eukaryota, Metazoa, Chordata, Actinopteri, Labriformes, Labridae. The record is from the annotation of a GenBank genome assembly.